UGGAUCACAUGACUCGCCCAAACCCUCUAAACUGCAUGAAUUGUCUGAAUCCCCUAAACCUGUCGCUUCAGCUUCUGAGUCUCUCAUUAAAGGGCUUGCAAAAAGAGAUCUUGCUUCUCUACUCCAGAAACAAAGAGUUGCAUCAGGACAACCCUCUACUCCACCACAGCAAAAAAGCAAAAAAAUGAGAUCUGCCAACUAAAUGUUACCGGUGACUACAUGACGGGACGGCAUUUUCUCAACAAAUGUUAACCAAUCAAGAUUGAGCUUUGUUCAAUUAUAUGCCUAUUUACUAUUUUACAUGUUGGUUUUCAAUUUACUUUUCUUUAAUCAAUCAGAGUUUGCUGCAUUUCUUUCACCCGACAUACACUUUCCAUCAGUUAAAAAAAACAUUAUGUUAGCGGGAUUUAAUUUUGUCUUUUAAUUAUUAGAAUUGUUUAAUUUGAAA
Oryzias latipes (Japanese medaka) is the source of this 448-nucleotide long non-coding RNA. RefSeq lists it as uncharacterized. The record is from RefSeq and is a predicted model, not a curated record. NCBI's taxonomy places the organism in Eukaryota, Metazoa, Chordata, Actinopteri, Beloniformes, Adrianichthyidae.